AAGUCGUAACAAGGUUUCCGUAGGUGAACCUGCGGAAGGAUCAUUAUUACGUAUCCACGUAUAAACCAAAUGUGAAUUGUUUUCCGCUCUUUGUCGAGGUUAAUGGCUUGGUUGCGCUACCGUUCCAUGUUAGUUGGAACAGUAAUCAAGUCGCCACCUUGUGUGGAACUUUGACAUUGAGUUCGGUUAUCACUAACAUCAAUUUUUUAUUAACCUUUUGUACUUAACUUCGAACUAACUAUGUUUCGCGUUUCGUGGACUCUUCGGAGCUCAUGGACUCGAAAUCUAUUUACGUAACUUGAACAGCUCUUAGCAACGGAUAUCUUGGCUCUC
RNAcentral lists this unclassified non-coding RNA (333 nucleotides) under fungal sp. RNAcentral describes it as "partial internal transcribed spacer region". The stretch from base 1 to 46 matches the Rfam family "Eukaryotic small subunit ribosomal RNA", at positions 1786 to 1831 of the family's 1831-position model. The record is from RNAcentral. Lineage: Eukaryota; Fungi.